Molecule: small RNA, 141 nt
Filed under: Arabidopsis thaliana (thale cress)
Lineage: Eukaryota; Viridiplantae; Streptophyta; Magnoliopsida; Brassicales; Brassicaceae
Description: ATSL284070
Source: RNAcentral
ACACGUCACCCGGGUACAGAACUUUGGCGAAUAGACGGUUAUUGUCUUGAUUGGAAGAGACAAAACCAACAUAUAACGUUCCCUCGAUAAGGACAAGGAUCUCAGUAGCACGAGGGUGCGUGUGAGGCGGGUUUUGUCCAU